Molecule: unclassified non-coding RNA, 373 nt
Filed under: Hevea brasiliensis (rubber tree)
Lineage: Eukaryota; Viridiplantae; Streptophyta; Magnoliopsida; Malpighiales; Euphorbiaceae
Source: RNAcentral
GAGAAUUGCCCAAGCUGAAGCGAUGGCUCGUGCUGAUAUUCUGAAAUUCCAGCCUGAGAGCGGAUUGACUCUAAACUCCGAUGGUAUUUUAGGUUCGUUGACCUCGGAACUACCUGCAGAGGGACUGGAUUUGAGUGUAAUUUUUCCAGCUGAAGAGUCAUGAACCAUAUUGAUACUACACAUUUUUGAUCACUUAGUUGAGGAAAAUGUAUAAAUAUUGUUUGCAAGUAUAGAGUUCUAUCAUCUAUGUUGAAAAUUCAUACACUUGAAUUUUGCAUCCGAUUCUAAAGUCGUUUCUUAUUCUUAAAUCACUUUUCGUUCCGUUGAUGAAAGAUAGAGAUCGGACUUUCUAACUGAGAUCGAGUGGAAUGAA